GAGUGACCCGAUUUUCCAAGUGCGUCCGUCACCCCUUUCUUUUACUCAGAAAGGGAACUCCCUGACCCCUUGCGCUUCCCAAGUGAGGCAAUGCCUCACCCUGCUUCGGCUCGCGCACGGUGCGCGCACCCACUGACCUGCGCCCACUGUCUGGCACUCCGUAGUGAGAUGAACCCGCUACCUCAGAUGGAAAUGCAGAAAUCACCUGUCUUCUGCCUCGCUCACGCUGGGAGCUGUAGACGGAAGCUGUUCCUAUUCGGCCAUCUUGGCUCCUUCCCCGGGGAAACACAUAUAAUGUUUUAAAAGUAUUCUGAUCUCUGGAUUCUUAACUUGGAGGCCAUGGAUAGGCUUAAAACUCAUCCAAAAUGUUUUGUGUGCUUUUGUUUUUUUGUAGAGGAAGUUUCCAAAACUUUCUUCUAAUUCUCAAAGAGAUAGUAGAACAAUUAAUCUAAUCUCAAUCUCUAAAUUCACCUGUGAGAAAAAUGAGACCUGGAUCUGUUGCUAGAUCUAUGAACAGACCAACUAUGAGACCUUGGCCAGCACUCAGCCUUCUGCUGGGAGGAAGGGUCAGUGCUGCCUAGAGAAAAGAGCACUAGACUCAGAGAAAGCAAGGACAAAGCACAGAGCUUGUGGGAGAAACCAUCACGGACUCAGACUUCUCCUGGCACUCAGGUGUCUGCUUUGCUUUCUCUUCACUCCUCCUUGUUGUAUUACCCCAUCUCCCACUGCAGAAAUUUACUUUACUUUUUGAUAUACAAGAUACUGAGACUGCAUCUGUCAAAUUUUCACUGCCAAAAUUAUUUUGCAAAACUCUACUCAGUUUUAUAUACUCGUGUGGUUGUUUCUCUUUGUUUUUCACUAACAUUGAAAGCAAAUCUACAGGAAAUACUUUUUUUUGCUUGGAAGAGGAAUAGAGAUUAUAAUCUAAUUUGGUGGAAAGACUGCUGCCUGUAUCCAACUCUACAUACAUUUGAGUCCAGUGCUAUGCAAAUAUGAUAACGAAAACUCAGAGAGGCUUGUUGAUAUGCUGUAUUUCAAUGGGCAGACAUGAAGACCAUGACAUCAUUGAGAAAGACCACCAGCUGCCCAAGACAAACUUCUAAACAGUCUACAUUUAAGCUUAUGUUGCUUUUUCCAUGAACCCCAAAGUACAUCUUCAAACUCAUCAUAGGUGGCUGAAUUCUAGCAUCUAUUACAAAGAUCUAAUACAAGGAUCACUGGUCCAGUCAAUAGUGACUGGGGAGGUUAGGGUGAAGACACAAAGCAUGAAGGUCCAGGUGCAAGUUUAUGCUCAUGACUACUCUGGCAAACUGAUUCUUGGAACAAUAUCAUUUAGACAUUCAUGAACUAGCUAUACAAAAGCAAUACAAAGCGACAAUUCUUAUUUCAUGGUAUUAAAAAAAGUUGUUUUUUCUAUUGAACUUCCCAUGAAUUUUUAUCUAAAAUAACAUGUUGUCGUAGAUUCCUUGUUUACUUUAUCCCUGAUACUAUUUCUGGCUUAUUUGGAAUUUCCCAAAUCUGCCUUUAGAUCACAAUUUAUACUCCACAGCUCAACCCCUUGAGCUAUCUGGAUCUACCCAUAUAAACUAGAAACCUAAUUCUAAGUUUUUUGAAGAUGACACAAUUCUAAUAUGUGAUAUCAUAUCAUAAGCCCUACUAAGAUAGCCUAAAUUAUUUUAUAGUUGCUGAGAAACGAAGGUACUAAGUUUAAAUUCUGUAAGUCUAUGAACAGCUAUUUUUCUGGACCAGUACCUAAUUUUGUCGAACAUAAAAAAAGUUGUCUGGUUUCUUUCAAGACAAUUUAGAUUUUCUAAUUUCUGUGAGAACUACAGCCAAAACUUCCAAAAUGAGAGAUUCUUUGAAUUCAGCUGUCCAUUAAAGUGUUGUCCAAUGCCUGCUUUUGCUGUCAAUUUGUUAUACUUAAACACUGUGUGAAGAAUUAAAUUAGAAUAAGCGUAAUUCACUUUGAUCUCAGUUAUGACAUUCCUUACUUUCUGUGUAAUACACAACCUGUCUUAUGAGUUGCAAACUAUAUUAACCUUGAAUAUAUCAACAUUUUAGCCUAAUGUGCCCUUCCAAUAUUUUCUGAUCUGAUAUGUGCCACCAAUCAAUACAUUUCAGACACUUUUUCAUACUCCACAAAGCUGUUAACAUGUUAAUCUAUUCAGUCUAUUCUUGUCCUUCACAUGUCCUGACAUUUUUAACUACUUAAAAUAGAGGCAUUUUCAUCUUAAAGUCUUUAUACAAGAUUUUAUUUCCAAUACAUCUCUUAUACCUUGCCAACAUUCUUAAGUAUUCAAAAAUGAGUUUUUUCUUUCUCGUUUAUGAGCAUGCCAGAG
RNAcentral lists this long non-coding RNA (2339 nucleotides) under Homo sapiens (human). RNAcentral describes it as "HSALNT0092405". The record is from RNAcentral. Lineage: Eukaryota; Metazoa; Chordata; Mammalia; Primates; Hominidae.